Molecule: RNA transcript, 3903 nt
Organism: Harmonia axyridis
Lineage: Eukaryota; Metazoa; Arthropoda; Insecta; Coleoptera; Coccinellidae
Exons: 2
Source: RefSeq, a predicted model, not a curated record
GUGAUAUUCAGUCGGGCAAAUGUAUAAGAGAAAAAAUGAGAAAUUCAAAAGCUUAUUUUUGCUUAUGUAAUAAUUUUCAACACAACAAACUAAUGAAAAAAAAUUAAAAACCAACAAAAAAAUCAGAAAUGACAAAAUAAUAAAUAUAUUUUUCCGACUAUUUCCCUCGUCUAAAUUUCCACCAAUCACAAACUUUCCAUUAUUAAUUAAAAAUGGUUUCUAGAUGAAAAAACUGUGAGACAGUACAUGUCUGCAGUUUUUUUGAGUCUACCCGCGGAAAAACUUGACAGCUAUUGUCAUGAAAGAAUACAAUAUCUUCGAAAACUCAUAAAAUAGUCUUGUCAAAUACCACAAUGCAAAGUAAUAUUUUAUUAACAAAAAGCGUUGGUGCAGGUGUAAAACCCUCGUCUAAAGAUUGGAAAUCUUUUUCGAGAGCAUAGAGAAUUAUACAACAUGAAGAUCCAGAAAAUAGCAAACAUUUGCAUUUUAAUGUUAGAGGUCCUAUAAGCAUUAGGUAUACGAGAAAAUGGCUAAUGGUGAAAAUUAUUUUUUGUUAAAUUGAUUUUUUGUUGUUAUUCAAAAUUAUAUAUUUCAAAUUAUCUUUGAAACGAAUAAAUGAGUUUUAAAUUGGAGAUAAUUUUUUUGUAUCAAAAUUAGUUCUUCAAUUAAUGGGCGGUAUUUUCUCAAGUAUCUACUUUUUUAUCAAUUACAGAAGUCUUUUUUGUUUUUUUUUUUUAUUUCGAAAAGAUUGAUUAAUUUCAUGGAAUAAUCGAUAACUAAACGAAAAUUGUCAAUUUUAGUUGCUAUAGAGUAUAGACAGUUCUUUUUUCAUUCAUAAUUUCAUAAUUUUUCAAAAUUACAUAUUUUAAAAAUGAAUAAAUGAGUGUUAAAUUGAAGAUAAUUUUUUUGUAUUAAAAUUAAUUCUUUAAUUAAUUUCGGCAUUUUCUCAAGUACCUACUUUUUUGUCAAUUACAAUCUUUAUAACAAAGGAAGUGCUUUUAUUUGUUUUUUUGUAGUUUCAAAAGAUUGAUUAAUAUCAUUAAAUGAUCGAUAACUAAACGAAAAUUGUUCAUUUUAUUUUUAUUUAGAGUAUAGACAGUUCUUUUUUUCAUUCAUAAUUUCAAAGAAUAUUUUUAAUGAAUUAUUAUAAACAAAUUAUAGUCUAACAAACAUUUAUCUUUUGAUGAUGAACGAACUAGCCCGUUACUUUGUAAUAGUACAUUUUAUAUGGAAUAUGAAAAUUAUUUCGUUUUUAUCACUAUCAAAAAGUAACAGUAUUUAAAGAUUGUUAAAAUUUGGAAAAUCACUAUGGGUCAGGAAGUUUUGAGCGCUCAUUCAUUUAAAUAUAUGAGAUGUGGUUAAUUGUGAAUACAUUGUUGUGUGUUGGUUCAUUUAGACGAAGAAAUGAUCCUGAAUUUCGACAUAAUCAUUUCAGUGAUUAUUUCACAUAUACAUUGAAUAGAAAUUAAAUACAUUUAUUAUGUAUUAUAUAACGUCAUUCAUUUUUAUACAAUGAAUAUUUUUCAAAUGUCUUAUAUUUAAAUUCCGUGACAACAACAAUUAUUAUUAUUAUUAUUAUUAUUAUAACAGGGCUAUUGAACAAUAAAAUUAUGAGUUUUAUGAAUAAUUCAGAUAUCUCAAGAUACAUGGGUUUAUUAUGAUAAUUAUUAUAAAUUAUUAUAGUAAUGAAUGCCAAAAAUAUCUAAUUGCGACAAGAAAGGUUAUUAUGUUAAUAGCCAUAUAUGUUUGAUGUAGAUACAAAUAUUUUAUUUUUUCUAUGAAUUUGAUUCUAAUAACAACAACUACAGUAUUAAGACACAAUUGUCCUAUUAAUCCUUUAGCUGAAUAUAUUUUUGUUUUACAAAUUUUUAUUUUUUUGGAAUUUGAUUCUUUUAUAUUGAAAAUUAUAUAUUUAAGCAAUGUCUAUAUAAAGUUGUCGUUUUGAAAUCAAAAAAUUAACUUUCACAUUAUGUCUAGGCACUUAAUUUACAUCUUGAGAAGAGCAAACAUUUUCUACCUAAUAUUUUAUCAGGAAUGGUAUCCUCGACACUGGCAAAUCAUAAAGGAUUAAUUCAUGUGAGACGUAAUAUUCCACAGAAUUCGUGAAAAGAUGAUAAAUGAUUUUAUUAAUACCUUCUUUGUGUAUUUAUCGGUACCUUCCUCCAACAAGAAAUUUGAAUUAAUUUGUAUUAUAUGCUUAUAAUUUAAAAAACGACUUUUUUAUGCUUUGAUGUUUAAUACCUAUAAAAAUACGAAAAAGUUAAACGUACCGUACUCAGAAAGGAAUUCUACUAGAGCUUGUAAAAAUCUCAUUUCAAAUGGCAUUUUGCAAAUGUAUACACCGAAGAUUGGAAAAAUUAUUUAGUCCAAAAUUCAAAAAGUUUUGCACAUUCCCCACUUCUUUCGAAAUUAUUAAUAAUUAAGGGUGUCAAGCCAACUGUUUAUUCGCAGUGAUUAUUCAAGUGCCCAAGUGCAAGAAGUCGUCGCUGGUUAUCGAAAAAUUCGAUAUUGAGUUCUCGCGAUAACUACAAUAUUCGUUGAUAAAAUUAUAGAACGACCAUGUCUUCAAUAAGUAAAUUAAUGAAUUCUUGUUCUAUAGAUGAUAAUUCCAGAUCUGCCAUUACAUACUACGGAGCAAACUAUGACACCCUGCAUUAUAGUCGAGAACUUUUGGAUGGAACGUCGGUGCAUUCAUGGAAGUUGGAGUCAGACGAACUGGAUCAACUAAUAGAAGAAGAUCUUGAACAUCCUUCUAAUUAUAAAGAUAAAGACGAGGAAUAUAUAGGGGAUGCCGGGGGUGCUAUAGCACAUUUUCUGAAGAAUGAUAGUUCCAGAUCUCCGAUUACAUACUACGGAGCAAACUAUGACACCCUGCAUUAUAGUCAAGAACUUUUGGAUGGAACUUCGGUGCAUUAAUGGAAGUUGGAGUCAGACGAACUGGUUCAACUGAUAGACGAAGAUCUUGAACAUCCUUCUAAUUAUAAAGAUAAAGACGAGGAAUAUAUAGGGGAUGCCGGGGGUGCUAUAGCACAUUUUCUGAAGAGUGAGUAAACUGAAAAUUUCUUAUUUUUUUAUCCCUCAUUUUUUCUUCAGAUCUAUAAGGAUCUUGGAUAGAUUCAUUUGAUAAAAAUAAAUAUAAGCACUUCGAGGAAAUUCAUAUUUAUUUUUAUAAAAUUAAUGGAAUUUUCUUCAAGUAAGGACUGAAUCCAUCAUAUAUUAGAGAAAUUCAUUGAAAUUCUGAACGGAAUAAUUUCCGUUACUUGAUAACUGUAAAUGACAAAAAUUACGAGAUAAAAAAUAUGAAUAACUUUGGAGACCAUAUCAGUUGAUUUUCAUAUAUAUAUUUGAAUAAGGGUGCCAAGCCAACUACCUACUCGCAGUGAUUAUUCAAGUGCCUAAGUGCAAGUCGUCGCUGGUUAUCGAAAAAUUCGAUUUUGAGUUCUCGCGAUAACUACAAUUUUUGUUAAUAAAAUUAUAGAUCGAACAUGUCUGCAAUAAUUCAAUUGAUGAAUUCUUGUUCUAUAGAUGAUAGCUCCAGAUCUCUAAGUACAUACUACGGAGACUAUGACUCCCUCCAUUAUAGUCUACAAAUUUUGGAUGGAACGGUGCAAUCAUGGGAGUCAGAAGAACUGAUUGAACUAUAGGUAAUAGAAGAAGAUCUUGAACAUCUUUCUAAUUAUAAAGAUAAAGACGAGGAAUAUAAAGGGGAUGCCGGGGGUGCUAUAGCACAUUUUCUGAAGAGUGAGUAAACUGAAAAUUUCUUAUUUUUUUAUCCCUCAUUUUUUCUUCAGAUCUAUAAGGAUCUUGGAUAGAUUCAUUUCAUUAAAAUAAAUAUAAGCACUUCGGGGAAAUUCAUAUUUAUUUUUAUCAAAUUAAUGGAAUUUUUAUAAAGUAAGGACUGAA